UACAGAGGGUGCGAGCGUUGUCCGGAAUCACUGGGCGUAAAGGGCGCGUAGGUGGCUUGGUAAGCGUGUGGUGAAAGUCCGGGGCUCAACCCCGGAUCGGCCAUGCGAACUGCCCGGCUGGAGCACGGUAGAGGCCAAUGGAAUUCCGGGUGUAGCGGUGGAAUGCGUAGAGAUCCGGAAGAACACCGGUGGCGAAGGCGGUUGGCUGGGCCGAUACUGACGCUGAGGAGCGAAAGCGAGGGGAGCAAACGGG
RNAcentral lists this ribosomal RNA (253 nucleotides) under uncultured bacterium. RNAcentral's name for it is "partial 16S ribosomal RNA". It matches the Rfam family "Bacterial small subunit ribosomal RNA", at positions 524 to 776 of the family's 1533-position model. The record is from RNAcentral.